UCUGAAGAGAGAGGAGAGAAGCCAAGUCUAUGCUCAGUGUCCUCAGGGUUCAUGAAUAUCUGAAUGAUAUGUAGCCUAACAGU
Molecule: small nucleolar RNA, 83 nt
Filed under: Meriones unguiculatus (Mongolian gerbil)
Lineage: Eukaryota; Metazoa; Chordata; Mammalia; Rodentia; Muridae
Description: Small nucleolar RNA SNORA17 (ENSMUGG00000027038.1)
Rfam family: Small nucleolar RNA SNORA17
About the family: snoRNA ACA 17 belongs to the H/ACA family of snoRNAs and is predicted to guide pseudouridylation of the 28S rRNA at positions U4659 and U4598.
Source: RNAcentral